RNAcentral lists this long non-coding RNA (788 nucleotides) under Parus major (Great Tit). RNAcentral's name for it is "lncRNA (ENSPMJG00000015431.1)". Lineage: Eukaryota; Metazoa; Chordata; Aves; Passeriformes; Paridae. The record is from RNAcentral.
GGAGCGGGCAGGGGAGCGGGCAGGGGAGCGGCCGGGGCAGGCAGGCAGGAGCAGGCACUUAUGAGCAGGGCUGUCUGUGGAGGUGAGAGCUGAGUGUGCCUGCAGGCCCUGGGCAGUGCAGCUCCCAUUCUCCUGGACAGCACACUCCUCUGGGCCUGCCCAGCCCCCUCAGGCACACUCAGCCUUCUGCUUGCUGUGAACUGGCAGUCAGGAGAAGUGUGCUGUAUUUCACAGGUCCUACUCGGUUACUGUGUGUAAAGUAGUAACUCUUGAUACUGUGGGAGGAACAUUAUUGAACAGGGGUGAGAAAAAGCAAGUGAAAGAACAGUUCCUUGCACUGUCCUCUGGGGGACUGCUAAAGAAAACCUGGUUCCAGGGUUCUGAGACAGAUAAUAGCUAAAGAAACAUGUCCAAAAGCUUGGUUUUGUUGUUAAUUUAUUUUCUGUUUUCUGUUUCUAGGAGGUAUAGUAUGAGUCCAAUACUGAGCAACAAAGCUGUUUGUUAAAGUAAUCUCCGCACCCUGGAAUUGUACUUUUCCAGGAGUGACUGUGGCUGGGUGCAGAAGGAACACUUGCUGUUUGCCUGUAUGUAUCUGUACCCCCAAGUGGGACAACUGAGGAACUCAGAAACAAUGGCACUGGGACGGUGCUGGGAUGUCUGAGCCUGAUUCCUUACGUCCAUUCCCUCACUCACUCAGAGGUCUCUCAUUAUUGUGGUUUUUGAAACUGCUUGGGAAAUCCGAACUGAGAGGAACAGAACCUACAGCGUUUCUCUUAAGCAAAGUUUGA